Molecule: non-coding RNA, 3861 nt
Organism: Phalacrocorax carbo (great cormorant)
Lineage: Eukaryota; Metazoa; Chordata; Aves; Suliformes; Phalacrocoracidae
Source: RefSeq, a predicted model, not a curated record
AUCAGGGGGGCCUUCAACAUAUGGCUUAGAGAAGAGCCAGAUAAACAGCACAGUAACCUGACCUGCCAGGAUUCUGUGGCAUAGUGGUAGCAAAGGGAAAGGUGAGUAUGGCAUAUGGCAAGUAAAUUGUGAGGGCAAAGACAGACUGAGAGUCAAUAUCCUUUGUUUCUUAGCAUCACGGGCUGGACUUCUGGCUUUCUACAUUUGAUGCUGCUUUUUCAAGAGGAGACAAAAGCAAUAAUAAGUAGUAAAAUACUUCCUGCAGGUGUGGGGCGCUCAAACCUGUGAGUGGCUUCCAACUUCUAGAUGAGAAGGGCAUAAAAUAUGCUUGGUCUGUCCUGCUUAGGGUAGCUUUAUUUAAAAGCACACAAGACGACAAUACUUGUAGGCAGCAGCAACAACAUUUACUAAACCAAGUGAUACAGCUGGAAAAGCGUGAACAGUCUUUUGGACUCAGAUCACUGCAGAAGCAGUGCAGUGAGUACUCCUUUCUCAUUACAGCUCUUGCAGCAGGAUGUCUUGAAAACCACUGCCUUCUUUGCAUUGCCUCUAAAAAUCAAUGGCUAUCUAUCUAGGAAUGAGGUCUUGCUCUGCUGGUUUUUAACAAGUAUUUUCUUCCUUCUGUUUGUGGAUGUGUUUGCAGUGUGCUUUCUAGUAGUUGCCAAGCUUUCUGUCAUGCUCCAUAGCGCAGAUCCCUUCCAUUUUAGUGAUGAGUGGGGUACGCUUUGGAUAGAGCGAGAAAUGAUAAUGUAAAUCGAUGCUCCUAAGAAGUCAUAUGUAAAGACAGAAAUUGUGUGGUAUCUCCUGAAACAGAAUGGUUUAUGAGAGCCUGCAGUGUGUCCUACUGGAAGUAUACUCUGGAAAAACAGAAAACCUGAAUGAGCUUGAGGUUGUUGGCUGCUAUUGAACAGGGAUGAAUCCGUAUCCAGCUAAGUCUGCUUCCGUUGCAGCUGUGAUUGGCUCUGAAUAAAUCAAAAAGUUGUGUGUAUUUGAUUUUGCUCAGUUACCCUGAGAAACAAGUUGCUGCACUCAAAUCUCCAUUUUUCGUUGUCAGUGUCUCCCAUGUUCCUUUCUUCUGCAGUCUCUAAAAACAUAAUGGCAUGUCCUCAUUCACUGAUUAUGAAAAGAGCGAGUAGGUGGUAGGGUGGAAGUUCAAGUUGGAGAUGAAAACUUUUAUUUAGGGAAUAUAAUUCUUAUGCAAGGGAACGGGUGCUUGACAGCUGACUAAUCUCUUCUAAUGAAUUUGCCUCCUGAGAGCUUAGUAAAUAUUGCCGUGUAACCAUGUAUGAAUCAUCAGUGUGCUCUAAAAUGAUGGGAACGCUCUGAGAUCCCUUGGUUGCUGUGAGCUGAAAGCAGUCAAAACCACCUCCGGAAGUGCAAUGCCUGCCCCAGUUCAGGGGUCCAAAGCUCACGGACCCACCUCCAUUUCAGGUGGGGAAAUGCCAGUGAGCAUUUCACCUAUUUGGAUCCCUCCUUUGUAACUUUUGACCUACUGGCUUUGACAGCAGCAAAUGUCAUAUUUGCUCUGGAGCGUCAGGGAGAGGAGAGCUGUGUGUACCUGCUGGUACACUGGAAACACUGAACUUCUCCAAGUCCUGGCUGAGCCAACACUGCACCUCACGCAUAAAGGAGGACAUUCUCUGCCAUGUGUAUGACAGCCUUUCAGCAGGGUUUGCUACCUUGUAAUAUAAGCUUUCUGAACCUAAGCAUCAAGAGAAGUAUCAUACUUCUAAGCUAGCUGUAGAAAUCAAACUGAAAACCUGUAACACAGAAUAAACCACAGCAAUCCCUGCGCUCCUCCUGUGGUUCUGCACCACAUACGUAACUUGUUGGGGGAAUAUUUAGCGUGGAGAAACAUCCUGUCCCUGACCCGUCAUAGCCUGUUCAUUCUGGGCUGUCUGUCUCUGACUCUGCAGGGUUUCUGAGCAUUUGUGACGAAGAAUAGACACUGCAACUGGAUGUGGAAGAUCUGUGUUAAGAACACUAAUAAUUUGAUUUUGUCUGUAGAGGACUACACCAGUCAGUCAAGUGUGCAUUCUCUCUUUCUAUGGGAUGAGUUUAAAAUAAAACACUCCUCCCCCCCACCCCUGCACCAGCUCCCUGUUCUAUCGCUGGUAUUUAAAGUACGAGAUCCAGCUGAUUUCCUCGUGCGGGGAUUUCCUGGUUGUUCGAGCACCAACUUGGGACUUGGAGACAACACCACUGUGCCUUGUCACUGCCUUUGAAGACAUCACGUAAUGCUCUUUUCCAUAGCAUUUGAGACUCAGGUAGGAACCUCUCAGACUUCUCAAAGGUCGAUAGACAAGUUAAGCACCAGUGUCUCGUUCUCUGCAAAUGCUUCUACAGCUCAGCUGGUUCACAAAAAUAAAUAAAUCUUCCUAAACGCCUGCUUCUCAGUGGCUACAUUUAUAAAUAUCUUCUCGGAUAUAUCAGUUCUUCCAUUCCUCACCUGUGCUGCGCUCUACUCAGGCAAUACUUUGCUUUCUUAAAUGGAGGUUGUCAAGAUAUGUUCGCUAAUAUGGUGCUUAUGUACUGUGGCAAUGGGGGAUAAACCAGUUUUUCAGAUGAGAUAGCCAAGAGGAAACUUUUAUCUAUCAAAACACACUGAAAGAUUCUUGCUGCUGGGGGAGGGCUUCUUUUCUCCACUGCUUCCAAAAUCCUCUGUGCUCCCAGAUGUUCGUAGGUGGUGUGCACGAGCCAGGGGCUGAAAAGGAGAAACAAAGGACAUCAGGAAGCAGCAGCAGACAGACGUUACCUGUCCCUGCCAUGGAAGGAUGGAGUGGCCUUGCAGCUGUUGAUGAGACUGAAAAGAGUGAGCCAGAAUAGGCCCAAGCUGAAGAUCUGUGGCCCCUGCUGUCACGAGGAAAGACUGGGUCUCCUGAGAAAAGCUGCUUUCCCCACCGCCUCCCUGCCCAAACCCAGCUGUACCCCCGGAGGUGCGCUCACCAGCAGGGAAAGGCUUCAGUUUUAGGCGGCCAGGCAGAAAAGAAACCCCAGGAGACACAGCCUGAUUAACAAGUCUGCAGGGGCUGGCAGUGAGUUCUGCAAGGUUGAAAGCGAACUUGGUGUAACCGUUGGCACUUGUUCCACGUAGGAAUAGUAAGUUCAUUUUUGUGCGCUUCCUGAUGCUCGCUCUGUGGUCGCGAGCUGAUAGAAGGCAACGCUUCAACUUCCUGAAUCCUCUAAAUAAAGCAUCCUUUCUAUAUAGAAAUUUUCAAAGAAAAGGCACAUUGUACUUUCUGCUUUGGUCGAGUUUUCGUGUUUGCCUCUUUGAAUGAACAACUUUGGUCAUUAAACAGUUGGAAACUUACUUCAAAAGGCUUGAAUGUAUCGUAAGGAAAAAUAUCUUCACUUGAAUGGCUUGGAGCUGCUCUCAGAAGUUUAUUUACAUAGCUGUUGUAUUGUGCCACAGUUUGAAGGGCAUCCAGGCUUCCUCUUUAAUCUAAACUCCUUUUACUUAAUUAAGUCACAAAUAACUUCAGUUUUCCUUAUUACUAAGUCUGUUUCUUUCAAGAGAUUAUUAUAGCAAACCAGCAAGUAGUUAAAUACUUGAAUUAAUACAUAUAUUAGCUCUUGUAAAUUCAGAUGUAGUGAAGAGCAAGUCAGCCAGUCCCCAUCCAUGCACGCACGCCAUAACGUGAACGAGUGUGCCUGGAUAUAGUGAGGAUGCAAAGCUCCUACCCUUGCCUGACACUUGUGAGAGCAGUUCAUUUUCAGGGUCACCUCUAAAGUUGAGAAAAAAUGUGUUUUCCUCCAGUAGGAAGUCCUUCAUAAAACUAGGUGUUACGAAUUUAGCUAGAAUUUCCUGUUCCUACUAAGCCAGGUUGAAUAAAGUGGGUAGGCUAGCACUGAACACUCCAU